RNAcentral lists this ribosomal RNA (434 nucleotides) under uncultured bacterium. RNAcentral's name for it is "bacterial SSU rRNA". It matches the Rfam family "Bacterial small subunit ribosomal RNA", at positions 958 to 1392 of the family's 1533-position model. The record is from RNAcentral.
AACGCGAAGAACCUUACCUGAUCUUGACAUCCCCCUGACCGGUGAGUAACGUCACCUUUCCUUCGGGACAGGGGAGACAGGUGGUGCAUGGUUGUCGUCAGCUCGUGUCGUGAGAUGUUGGGUUAAGUCCCGCAACGAGCGCAACCCUUAUCCUUAGUAGCCAGCAUUACGGAUGGGCACUCUAGGGAGACUGCCAGGGACAACCUGGAGGAAGGUGGGGAUGACGUCAAAUCAUCAUGCCCCUUAUGACCAGGGCUACACACGUGCUACAAUGGCGUAAACAAAGGGAAGCGAAGGAGUGAUCCGGAGCAAAUCUCAAAAAUAACGUCUCAGUUCGGAUUGUAGUCUGCAACUCGACUACAUGAAGCUGGAAUCGCUAGUAAUCGCGAAUCAGCAUGUCGCGGUGAAUACGUUCCCGGGUCUUGUACACACCG